RNAcentral lists this ribosomal RNA (163 nucleotides) under uncultured bacterium. RNAcentral's name for it is "partial 16S ribosomal RNA". It matches the Rfam family "Bacterial small subunit ribosomal RNA", at positions 355 to 511 of the family's 1533-position model. The record is from RNAcentral.
UAGGGAAUCUCGGCAAUGGACGAAAGUCUGACCGAGCAACGCCGCGUGAGUGAAGAAGGUUUUCGGAUCGUAAAACUCUGUUGUUAGAGAAGAACAAGGGUGAGAGUAACUGUUCACCCCUUGACGGUAUCUAACCAGAAAGCCACGGCUAACUACGUGCCAG